This 579-nucleotide ribosomal RNA is filed under the name uncultured bacterium. RNAcentral's name for it is "bacterial SSU rRNA". It matches the Rfam family "Bacterial small subunit ribosomal RNA", at positions 338 to 917 of the family's 1533-position model. The record is from RNAcentral.
CCUACGGGAGGCAGCAGUGAGGAAUAUUGGUCAAUGGAGGCAACUCUGAACCAGCCAUGCCGCGUGAAGGAUGACGGCCCUAUGGGUUGUAAACUUCUUUUGAAUAGGAAGAAACUUAUCUACGUGUAGAUAACUGACGGUACUAUUAGAAUAAAGAUCGGCUAACUCCGUGCCAGCAGCCGCGGUAAUACGGAGGAUCCAAGCGUUAUCCGGAUUCAUUGGGUUUAAAGGGUCCGUAGGCGGAUCUUUAAGUCAGUGGUGAAAGCCGACAGCUUAACUGUCGAACUGCCAUUGAUACUGGAGAUCUUGAGUACAAAUGAAGUAGGCGGAAUGAGUCAUGUAGCGGUGAAAUGCAUAGAUAUGACUCAGAACACCGAUUGCGAAGGCAGCUUACUAACAUGUAACUGACGCUGAGGGACGAAAGCGUGGGGAGCGAACAGGAUUAGAUACCCUGGUAGUCCACGCCGUAAACGAUCAUCACUCGCUGUUGGCGAUAUACUGUCAGCGGCCAAGCGAAAGUAUUAAGUGAUGCACCUGGGGAGUACGCCGGCAACGGUGAAACUCAAAGGAAUUGACGGA